RNAcentral lists this ribosomal RNA (450 nucleotides) under Triticum aestivum (bread wheat). RNAcentral describes it as "partial small subunit ribosomal RNA". The record is from RNAcentral. Lineage: Eukaryota; Viridiplantae; Streptophyta; Magnoliopsida; Poales; Poaceae.
AUGGCCGCGAUGCAGGAGGAGUUCGACACUUUGCAGCGGAACCGGACUUGGCAGCUUGUUCCCCGUCCCCGGCACGCCAACGUGAUCACCGGGAAGUGGGUCUUCAAACACAAGCUUCGUCCCGAUGGCACACUUGACCGCUAUAAGGCGCGUUGGGUUGUUCCUGGCUUCCGGCAAUGCGCCGGCGUGGACUUCACCGACACCUUCGUUCCGGUUGUUAAGCCCGGGGCGAUCCGCACUGUUUUACAGCUGGCGGUCUCUCGUGCCUGGCCGGUUCAUCAGAUGGACGUCUCCAACGCCUUCCUCCAUGGUCAUCUUGAGGAGCAGGUCUUCUGUCAGCAGCCCACGGGGUUUGUUGAUCCGGCGUGUCCCGAUCCGACGGAGGGGCGUGCGAUGCACCCAAUCAAUACAUUGAGAGUUGCAUCCUAUUCCUCUACACCUAGGAAGUAG